Long non-coding RNA from Passer domesticus (house sparrow), 1392 nucleotides. RefSeq lists it as uncharacterized. The transcript is spliced from 4 exons. Lineage: Eukaryota; Metazoa; Chordata; Aves; Passeriformes; Passeridae. The record is from RefSeq and is a predicted model, not a curated record.
GCCCCAUCUCCCCGUCUCCCCUUAAAACAGGCACGCCCAACCGUGAUGGCAUCGGCCUCCAAGCGUUGCUGAAGCUAAUGGCAUUAGGAGACGCUAUGAGCCAGCAGCCCUGUGACAGCAGGAACUUCCCAGAUGACAAGGCGGCCUUCUUUUGCACCUGAUGCAGAUUGUCAUCCCCAGAUAUCUGAGAGAUAAGUCGAGGGCUACAACUCCUCGAGGGGGUGAAUGUGGGGUGCUGGGUUGGGACUCGCCGGGAGGGGUUUUUGAGUCAGCUUUGGGGCUGAGGCUAUCCAAGAAGUGUCCCCUUAGGCCACAUAACGGGAAAGUGUCACUUUUGAUCCCGGUGCUGAGGUGCGCAGGGCAGAGCAGUCCCGGAGUGUAUCGUGUCACUUGUCUAAUGUGCCUUGUGUUGUUUAUAUGUCUCAUGUCUUACGUGUUCUACUUUAGCCCUUUGAGGGGCCUAUCAGAAACCCUGGCAUCAUUCUUAGCAUCUGUGCUCUCUGCAUUUCCUGGUCUGGCACCAAUGCCACAGGACUUUUGACUCAGGAGCUCGGACAGGCAUCAGAAUUGCACCUCUCUAUCAAAGACAUCUGACUGGAUGCUUCUAAGGUCUUGUUCUGAGCUGUAUGGACAGCUGUGCAUCGCAAGGAUCCCUUAUUGCGGAUUAGGGCUUGUAAGAAUGUGAGGAUAGGUAGAGGAUUCUGACCGUAGGAUUCACAGGCAUCCAUCUUUGCAGUUCUUAGAAGGAACCAUUCUCUUAGCAGAUACUUCUUCCAGAGUUCUCUGAGCCUCAUCGGCUUACCAUUGGUCUCACCUCGGUCCUCUCAUUUUGCACUCUCUCGGUCCUUGCAGUCAUUCCUCUUACCAAGAGAUUUCUGUCCCUGUUGUGUCCCCAUUGUUUGUCCUGUUGCGUGUCACGGGUGUCUGCACACGUUUGUGCCGGGUUUGCUCUGCCCUGCCGCGUAGCCUGGUGUAAUAGGACACAUCCUGGGGGCUUGAAAUUUGUAGUGUGGGGUGUAGUUGGAUUCUAGAUGGUAUUCUUAGGUUGACCCUAGGAAGUUGUCUGGAGCUGUGGAGUUAUCCUGCAGCCCUUUGAACUUUGUCCUGACUCUGUUUCAGAUGCAGACGGAUAAAAUCCAUGGCAGAACUCCCUAUCCCAGGAAGUAAAGCCAUCUAGCAGCAGUCAAGGUGAGGUGGUCAAGGCAAUCUACUCAGGUUAUGCCAAGCCCCUGUCACCAACCUGCUGAUGGACCAUGUUUGCUGCUCUCAUGAGCCCUGUGGAGGUAUUGCAAGACUGUCAUGAAGCCUUGAAGUUGUCUGUUUAAAGGUCCCUUCUGGGUAGCCCUCAGGAAUGGCCAAGGAGUUGUGGUGAGUUGGGGAGGUAUCGAGGAG